GCUGACAGUGCUCUUAGCAGCCGCGGCCACAACACGACCUCAGUGACAGCAGCCACGGCGGGCCAGGAUCUGUGCUAAGGGUUUUCCAUGCCUCCGUUGCACGUACCCUAACAACCACCCAAGGAGGGGGUGUUGUCUUUGUAUCCCAGAACGGUUAAGCAGCUUACUUGGGAUCACACAGUAAGUAGCGUGGCAAGAACUUGCACUCAAGCUUGUCUGAGUCCAAGAGCCACCCCAGCACACUGCUCACCAUGGUCUUCCCAAAGGGAUCGGGCUUAUUCAGAAAGCCGAUCAAUUGGAAGGACCACGUAGUCACCGUAGAAGAGCUUGGGAAGAGUGUCAGGCAGUCUCAGGGGUAUUUAGGGUCUCCAGGGUCCACUCCCUGGCAUUCCUGGAGGGCUCUAGUGAAAGCGUGAUUAUCCCGGGCAGCCUUCAGCAGUGGAACAGCAGGGAACGCCAGGGUUAGGAAAAGCCGUGGGAGGGAGGAAGAAGCUGGAAGGGAGGGCAUGCCCGCCUGAAGCCUGAGUAGCCUCGGGGUGUGCAGGGGUGGGGAGUGGUGUUUUGGACGCCGGCCUGGCCCCACCCUGCUGACUGCCCCUGUGGGAGGAGGGUGGGGCCGUGAAGGGAGGGUUGUUUAUAAGCACCUCUGGCCUUUGAAAAACACCAGCUGAUGGCGCCACUUCCUUCGCUUCUAGUGUAAGGCCCCUCGGAGUCAGUGUCACUCCAGCCACCUGCAGUCCCCAGCCCGGGCUGGGGCGGAAACGCAGGGCAGCAGAAUGAGCGCGGGUUUUGAAAUCCAGCUGUGAUUUGGACCAGCUGUGGGCAGAUUACUUAAUAGCUCUGUAUCCUUCUUGGGAGUAAUAAUACCCACCUUAUGCAGUUCUUGUGAGAAUCAAAAUGAGUCCAAGCAUGUGAAAUAUUUAAUGCCUGGCAUUUGAGAAAUGUUCAAUAGUAGUUUCUAUUCCAAACUCGCCCAUCCUCAGCCCACAGUCAGGGUGGCUGUUCCCCAUUGUAACCCUCUUGAGUGCAUUACUGAUAUGCUCUAGGGUAUGCUUGAGAGAGGAUAUGGGAAUUUUCCUUCCACUCUUCACCUAGGUUUUUACAUAUGAUCCUUAUUUGUGGAGUGGUAGCAGUAAAUCCUUGAGGGCAUGCAUGCCCACGGUUCCGCUCCAUGUUUAUUAAAGACCUACUAUGUGCAGACACUGCUGGGGACAGAAAAAUGAAUAUGACAUAGCCCUGCCCUCAAGAACCUUAUAGUCCAGCUGAAGAGAUAGACAUACAAAUAAGCAAUUUAAAUAUUAGGCGUUAAAUGCUGUGAUGAUGGUGUGUACAGAAUGCUAAGACAGCACAGAGGAAGGACAAUGAGCAUAAUCUUGGAGCUGAAGAUAAUGUCCCCAGGAGGGUACGGUCUGAGAUGAGUCUUAAAGGAGCCAGGAGAAGUUAGCCAAGGUGGUGACCUUGGACUUAUCCAAUGAACUAAGCUGGAACCGCAUUUCCCAGAAUUCCCUUCCCUGUGUGGCUCUGGGCUCAGACUGACCCCAUGAGAAAUGUGCACGAGGUCUGGAGGGUAGAAGGAAGGCAGCAGCUGUGUAGAUGUUCCUUGUGUCAAUGUGGAGCCGGGUAGCUCACGCUUGUUUUUGCAGAUCCACAGACUUCCCUUGUUGAGGUGAGGCAGCGCCUUCGACGUCUCUGACUCCUAGGCCAGGUGUGUGUCUAGCUCCGUGAUGGAAGGUGCCAGCUUCCCUUGUAAGUGACCAGCAUGGGCUCUGCUUCACCCUUCCGGGCUCCCAGCUUACCCAGGUGAGUUCUGGUUUGCUCUGGCUCUCCCCACUUCAAGCCUCUUUCCUUCCUAACUUCCUGCCCUGCUGACUUCAGGCCCAGAGCCAGAUGCAGAAACAACAGAUGUGUGUAAACUGUUGAACCAGCUCCUACGAUUGCAUGGGUGGGGGUGGGGAGUCAAAUCCUGUAAUAAAUCCUUUGUUUGAGAUCACAUUGAAUGAUUCUACUUCUCUGGUUGAAUCUCUUUUUUUUUUUUUUUGAGACAGAGUCUCGCUCUUGUCACCCAGGCUGGAGUGCAAUGGUGCGAUCUCAGCUCGCUGCAACCUCUGCCUCCCAGGUUCAAGUGAUUCUCCUGCCUCAGUCCCCCAAAUAGCUGGGAUUACAGGCACCUGCCACCAUGCCUGGCUACUUUUUGUAUUUUUAGUAGAGACAGGGUUUCACCAUGUUGGCCAGGCUGGUCUCGAACUCCUGACUUCAGGUGAUCCACCCAUUUUAGCCUCCCAAAGUGCUGGGAUUACAGGCAUGAGCCACUGCCCCCGGC
Molecule: long non-coding RNA, 2320 nt
Filed under: Homo sapiens (human)
Lineage: Eukaryota; Metazoa; Chordata; Mammalia; Primates; Hominidae
Description: HSALNT0332197
Source: RNAcentral